AGCGCAAUCCUUUACCUUUUCCAAAUUCAUCAUUCAUGUUCAUUAUCAUACAAUUGCUUCAUCAAUGGCAAUUUCUCAAGUGCAUUUCUCUAAGUUGAAGGCCGGCGGCUGCAGAUAUACUGUUCAGAUUAUACUACUUUGCUUUGGGAUGUCCGAAAUGUGAAGAAAGGCAGUAAGCUGCUGGGAGUUGCUACGCUGCUUAUUGAUUCGCAGUUUAGGGUCCGUGAAGGGGAAGAAAUUUCGUCCUCCAAGCCUACAAAAUAUGGGUUAACACAUUACCAUGGUCAUGCUUCAUAACUUGAUUGAACUGCAUCCAUGUGUCCCUGACAGCAAAGUUUCUCUGCACAGGGGUGGUUGGUGGCAUUGACACAGCUAAUGGCUGGUGCUAGAUUUCAUGCUCCAAGUGCACACGCAAGCUGCAACGUCGAUUCUCAUCAUUCACAUGCACUGCCUUUCAUAAUGAAAACGCAGUAGGAGUUGUUAGGUAGUACAUUUCAUUCUGUAUCAUUCAUCGUUCAGACUUUAAAAUAUGUCACCUUCAGUGGUCUCGCACGUAACAGUUUGUAUGGUUGUCUGUGUGGUAGGUACUGUGUUCAGUUGAAGGUCUCUCAUGCUUAGGACUGCAGAUUUUGUGGCUUUUGACACUGAAAUAACGAAGCUUACCAAUGUCCGGCCAGGGAAGUAUCCCAACUAAUGGUAAACAUCGCAACCUCCUUGGUUGCUUCUUUUUAAAUCGUCAGAACCAGGAGACAUGCAAACAAUAGUCAACAACGUUAACAUGUUCUCCACACUAUGGACCACCAUUUUUACUUGCGUUAUUCUGUAAAAGAGGAAGAAUUGGGCUAUGUUGGCUGUCAAAAAUAUGGGAGAGAUAGUGAAACUGUGAUGUUUGGAAGAGAAGUUGAAUGGAGAAAGCCACACGAGUCCAAGUUAUAGGUGAUAAAUGGCUGCUCGAUCUAUUGCUUUAUGUUUCGAUUCAGAUCUUAUCCGACUUCUUUCAUGGUUUCUCAUAUAAGGAUAAGAAUUAGGAGAAGCACACGCCAGGACCAAAGCUCCAAGGCGACUUAAUAUGUGUGUUUCUAGGGAACUUUAUUAACAAAACACAUUUCUCCAGUGGAGAUUAUCCUCGAGAGUUGAAUUCUUCUUCUCAAUGUUGUUGUGUAGCCAAAUCCUGAUCAUCUCACUCCUCAACUUCUUAGUUUUGUCAAUCAAAUGUUACCGUCACCAUAUCUCCCUAUUCGUCUUAUUCUCAUAUAAUUAAUUAAUAUAUAUGGCAGCUCGUUUUGCAAACGUUACUUGUCUGUUGAUCUUGUUCUCUAUCCUCUUCAGCUCUACUCUUCCCCUUCCCAUUUUUUUGUUGUUGUUCUAUAGUUUUCUCUUUUAUAUAUAUGCACACAAAUAUUGGUAUGUAAAUUUAUAUCUAUAUACAGAGACACACAAAAAAUCUGAAAUCUGAUCUUUUUGUUCUUUAGGGUCUUGAGAAGCAGAUAUGCCCUAACUUCAAGAACAAGACCAUAGGGUUCUUGUUUCUCUCUCUCUUUAUGUGUUUGGAAGUGUGUGGAGGAUACCCUAUAUAUAUUUUACAUUACAAUAAAGCUAUAUAUCAGGUGGAAUCUGAAAUAAAGACAAACCCUAAACUCAAACCUGAAAUUAGUAGGCAGCCCCACCACUUGAUUCCAAACAGAAACAAAUAGCGUCCUAACACAAUAAUAGAUAGGCUACUUUGAAAAUUAAAGUACAUGCUAGAUUGAACGUAUAGACAUGAGUAGGGUGAAACACCGACCGCUGAUGGUGCAGAUGAGACCCCUCUAUAUGACAGGAACACUGGAGAUGAUGAACAUGCUGAAGAAGCUGGUCGUUCCCGCAAGAAGAUACGUAAAGCAUAAACGACAACACUCGGAGACUCGGAGUUGUGUGUCAGACUACACUGUCACAACCAUGUUGCAUAAGUACGACUGCUAAGUACAACACUCGGAGACUCGGAGUUGUGCUGGCUUUUUAAUUUGUCAAACUCUGGAUAAGUACGACUGCUACUCAUUCUAAUCCAUGUUAUGGUUUUCAUGGUGUUUAUUUUUUUUGAUAAAAAUUCAUGGUGUUAAUUUAUAUUGUGGCAACCUUACAUU
Molecule: long non-coding RNA, 2123 nt
Organism: Brassica napus (rape)
Lineage: Eukaryota; Viridiplantae; Streptophyta; Magnoliopsida; Brassicales; Brassicaceae
Exons: 4
Source: RefSeq, a predicted model, not a curated record